Molecule: ribosomal RNA, 253 nt
Filed under: uncultured bacterium
Lineage: Bacteria
Description: partial 16S ribosomal RNA
Rfam family: Bacterial small subunit ribosomal RNA
Source: RNAcentral
UACGUAGGGGGCUAGCGUUGUCCGGAAUCAUUGGGCGUAAAGCGCGUGUAGGCGGCCCGGUAAGUCCGCUGUGAAAGUCGGGGGCUCAACCCUCGGAUGCCGGUGGAUACUGUCGGGCUCGAGUACGGAAGAGGCGAGUGGAAUUCCUGGUGUAGCGGUGAAAUGCGCAGAUAUCAGGAGGAACACCGAUUGCGAAGGCAGCUCGCUGGGACGUGACUGACGCUGAGACGCGAAAGCGUGGGGAGCAAACAGG